This 227-nucleotide long non-coding RNA is filed under the name Medicago truncatula (barrel medic). RNAcentral describes it as "long non-coding RNA (MTRU_LNC004520)". The record is from RNAcentral. Lineage: Eukaryota; Viridiplantae; Streptophyta; Magnoliopsida; Fabales; Fabaceae.
UUUUGACACUUUGUAAAUUGUUGUUGAGUCCUUGCCAUUCUCUAAGUCUUCACUCCAUUAUAUAGAGGUGUGAAAGAGACGUUGUGAAUUGCCAACACAUCAAAAUAUAGUUGUUUGAAGCUUUGAUCAAUCAUCAAUGAUCUUUUGCCUGAUAUGGUUAUUGUCCUCCAAAGGAUCAAUUUCAAAUCCAUUCCAAUUGAGAGGGAACAUCGUUGCAGGUAAAGCUG